RNAcentral lists this ribosomal RNA (494 nucleotides) under uncultured bacterium. RNAcentral describes it as "partial 16S ribosomal RNA". It matches the Rfam family "Bacterial small subunit ribosomal RNA", at positions 28 to 507 of the family's 1533-position model. The record is from RNAcentral.
GACGAACGCUGGCGGCGUGCUUAACACAUGCAAGUCGAGCGGAAAGGCCUGCUUUCCCUUGUGGAUUGCGGGUACUCGAGUGGCGAACGGGUGAGUAACACGUGAGUGAUCUGCCCCCAACUUGGGUAUAAGCCUGGGCAACUGGGUCUAAUUCCCGAUAGGACUGCAGGGUGGUUCCUGUGGUGGAAAACGAUUUUCUAGUGGUUGCGGAUGAGCUCGCGGGCUAUCAGCUUGUUGGUGGGGUAAUGGUCUACCGAGGCGGCGACGGGUAGCCGGCCUGAGAGAGUGGACGGGGACGUUUGAACUGCGAUAAUGAGACGACGAAUACGGAAGGCAGCAGUCGGGAGUAUUGCGCAAGGGGCGGAAGACUGUUGCCGCGACGCCGAGUGAGCGAUGCCGGGCGUGGGAUUAUAAACUUCGGGCGGCCGCGAGGAAGCGACCGGGUUGGAAGGGUGGUGACGGUAGUGGUAGAAGAAGCACCGGCUAACUACGUG